Molecule: non-coding RNA, 75 nt
Filed under: human gut metagenome
Description: Cyclic di-GMP-I riboswitch
Rfam family: c-di-GMP-I riboswitch aptamer
About the family: GEMM was predicted in a large-scale screen for bacterial structured RNA regulatory elements. Genes associated with GEMM are involved in a diverse array of functions, including chemotaxis regulation, signal transduction, secretion and chitin.
Source: RNAcentral
UGGCAAAUCGGUCGAAAGGCUGAGACGCAAAGCUACGGUGUCUAAACGGUAUAUUCCGCAUGAUAGACCGGCUGC